Non-coding RNA from Geopyxis carbonaria, 109 nucleotides. Lineage: Eukaryota; Fungi; Ascomycota; Pezizomycetes; Pezizales; Tarzettaceae. The record is from the annotation of a GenBank genome assembly.
GUUCAACUGGCGCAAUGGUAGCGCAUCAGACUUCUACCCAAUACAAGCAGGGCUCGAACCUGCUCGGGAUGGAAUCUGGGGGUUGCAGGUUCGAGCCCUGCGUUGAAUG